Mustela lutreola (European mink) is the source of this 1131-nucleotide long non-coding RNA. RefSeq lists it as uncharacterized. The record is from RefSeq and is a predicted model, not a curated record. The transcript is spliced from 4 exons. Lineage: Eukaryota; Metazoa; Chordata; Mammalia; Carnivora; Mustelidae.
CGGCCCCGGGGCGCAACUGGCCGGUGGCGUCCGGAGCGCGCCGCGGCCGGGUCUUCUCCCGGACAGAGUCUCUUUCCGCGCUGAGCUGGGGCCUGGAAGAUCCGCAACAGUUGCUAGUAGAGGGCAAGAAGCCGAGGCGCUGCAAAGCACCCUUCUCCCUGCCCCCUGCCCCCCGCCCCCUGCCCCCGUCUCGUGCUGCCAGAGGAUCCUGAACAGGAAAUUGUUUCAAGAUCAAGAUUUGAUUGAUGUCUGGACUUUAGAUAUUUCUACAAAGUGAAGAUCAGUGUUGUGUAGUAGAGGAACCAUAAGGAAACAUCCAUGGAACUUCUUGUGGCCAUCUUGUCACUUCCUUGCCUCCUUGGUAGAAGCCCACUUACAAGAGAAGAGAACCAACCCCAGAAGGAAGCAAAAGAGAUAAGAGUAUGGGGUGACAACACUGUUGGAGGCUGGGAAUGGCCUGGGAUUUUCUUUUGAUCAGCCAAUUCCUCUCUCCUACAAACUAUUUACAAGUGCUAUUCUGUACUAGGCACUGUACCAGGUGCUGGGGAAACAUUCAGGGAAAGACAAAGUCUCUUCUUUCAAAACUGAAAGAGGGAGGAGAAGACAGACAACAAACAAGUAUACAAAACCUCCUUCAGAUAAAGGAAAAUGGUAUGAAGGCGGACCAUUAAUAAGUUAGUAGAUAAAUGAGAACUUUCUGAUGAUAAUGUAAAGGGGGAAAAAUAAUUUUCCCUUUACUCUUCUGAGUUCUAUGGCUGAGACCACCCCCUCCCUAUAAUAAAAAAUAGAUUGACAAAAGAAAAAACAAUAACAACAAAAAAACAUCUAUGACUCCUUAAUACAUGGGAGAGACCUAGGAAAACUGAGUAACUCCCUGAAAUGGCCCCAGCCAUCACCUUAACUAUCAUCUAAAACUAAAGGGAAAAAAAAAAAGAUUUUGGGGUGGGGGCUAGAGCCAAUUGUGGGAGGUCACCAGGGCAAACAGAGUAAACAAGGAUAAGUUUGUUAUGCAGAUUUAAAUAGGUGCUAAGAGUUUCUUGUGAUUUAGGUUAUCCUUCUCUUCCUGAUACAGAAAAGGAGAUACCUACAAAUGGAGAUUUCCCUUAUAAAAUUAAAUGUCCUCAGUUUUCA